AUCUUCAGGGCAGGGUGAAAUUCCCUAUCGGAGGUAACAGUCCUCGAGCCUAACGGCAUGACAUGGUGUGAUUCCAUGACCGACGGUAUAGUCCGGAUGAAAGAAGAUA
RNAcentral lists this non-coding RNA (109 nucleotides) under human gut metagenome. Its description in RNAcentral is "FMN riboswitch (RFN element)". It matches the Rfam family "FMN riboswitch aptamer (RFN element)". Rfam says of the family: The RFN element is a highly conserved domain that is found frequently in the 5'-untranslated regions of prokaryotic mRNAs that encode for flavin mononucleotide (FMN) biosynthesis and transport proteins. This element is a metabolite-dependent riboswitch that directly binds FMN in the absence of proteins. In Bacillus subtilis, the riboswitch most likely controls gene expression by causing premature transcription termination within the 5' untranslated region of the ribDEAHT operon and precluding access to the ribosome-binding site of ypaA mRNA. The record is from RNAcentral.